UACGUAGGGUGCGAGCGUUGUCCGGAAUUAUUGGGCGUAAAGAGCUUGUAGGCGGUCUGUCGCGUCUGCUGUGAAAAUCCGGGGCUCAACCCCGGACUUGCAGUGGGUACGGGCAGACUAGAGGUGUGGUAGGGGAGACUGGAAUUCCUGGUGUAGCGGUGAAAUGCGCAGAUAUCAGGAGGAACACCGAUCGGCGAAGGC
This 201-nucleotide ribosomal RNA is filed under the name uncultured bacterium. RNAcentral describes it as "partial 16S ribosomal RNA". It matches the Rfam family "Bacterial small subunit ribosomal RNA", at positions 524 to 722 of the family's 1533-position model. The record is from RNAcentral.